This is a long non-coding RNA of Pogoniulus pusillus (Red-fronted tinkerbird), 712 nucleotides long. RefSeq lists it as uncharacterized. The transcript has 6 exons. The record is from RefSeq and is a predicted model, not a curated record. Lineage: Eukaryota; Metazoa; Chordata; Aves; Piciformes; Lybiidae.
UCUUUGACUUGAAGACCAGAUGUUUUCAGGAACUAAGGGAGGACUGACAGAUUUGGAUGAAAUAGUCUCAUAACCAUGGAUAGUACAGCGUCUGGGAAGGCCAUGCCACAGGGAUGCAGACUCUUUGCAACAAAAACCUGAAGCAUCUGACUGGAUCUCAAACCAUUUUGUUAACUGGUUUUCAGUUGUCCUCAGCCUUGAGCUAUGCAAGUAGACAUAACAGGAAUGCGGAGGAGAGAAGGUGAAGCUUUGUCAAGCUGCACUGCUAAUCCAGGGAAGAAAGGGGAAACCUCUUCUAUUGCUGCAGCUCAACUCUGCUGGUGACAUGCAAACUUCACCUUAACUUCUAGCCUUUUGCUAAGUGUGAGGCUCUUGGCUUUCAUUUCCUGAGCUUGCUUAUCCAUGGUCGUGGUCCCAGUGGUGGUGUUUCUGCUCUCAGCUGGCUGAGUGCUUGGAGCGCAGCCCUGGCCCCAGCCGUCAGCCAGCUAAAGUGGCAUUCCUCUUUCUGCUCCUUACCAAUGAUGGACCCUGCUUGCAGCACUGCAGCAAUUUGGCAAGAGAAGGCCAGGAUGAGAUAGGUCUGCGUGUUCCAGAAAGAACUGAAGGGGUUCAGGUUCGGUGCUGAAUUGGAUGUGGAAGAUACCUGUCCAGGGUACUGCCUGAGUGUUGGUGGAGAAGCUGCUGGUAGGGCUCUGCUGGGCUUUGGGAAGGG